Molecule: ribosomal RNA, 253 nt
Filed under: uncultured bacterium
Lineage: Bacteria
Description: partial 16S ribosomal RNA
Rfam family: Bacterial small subunit ribosomal RNA
Source: RNAcentral
UACGUAGGGUGCAAGCGUUAAUCGGAAUUACUGAGCGUAAAGCGUGCGCAGGCGGUUAUGUAAGACAGUUGUGAAAUCCCCGGGCUCAACCUGGGAACUGCAUCUGUGACUGCAUAGCUAGAGUACGGUAGAGGGGGAUGGAAUUCCGCGUGUAGCAGUGAAAUGCGUAGAUAUGCGGAGGAACACCGAUGGCGAAGGCAAUCCCCUGGACCUGUACUGACGCUCAUGCACGAAAGCGUGGGGAGCAAACAGG